AACUAGCCCCGAUGGAAGCAAAUAUCCUUUUUAUCCGCCGCGGCGGAUAAAAAGAUAUUGUGUACAGCGGGAACUAAU
Molecule: small RNA, 78 nt
Filed under: Flavobacterium sp. ov086
Lineage: Bacteria; Pseudomonadati; Bacteroidota; Flavobacteriia; Flavobacteriales; Flavobacteriaceae
Description: Flavo-1 RNA
Rfam family: Flavo-1 RNA
Source: RNAcentral